Long non-coding RNA from Monodelphis domestica (gray short-tailed opossum), 2800 nucleotides. RefSeq lists it as uncharacterized. Lineage: Eukaryota; Metazoa; Chordata; Mammalia; Didelphimorphia; Didelphidae. The record is from RefSeq and is a predicted model, not a curated record.
AGAUGGGACAUUUGGUUGGUAGAGAACGAUCUCUGUCAGGCAACUAUCCUCCAAACAUCUGUUUGAAUAUUUUCCAAUAAUAAUAUUGUUUCUAACUGAUUGAAUCACUAAAUUCAAUACUGAAUGACUUACUUUACUUGCCUCAACAGCAUGAUACCUUGGACUCAGAUCAACUUCCAGGAGAAGAUGGAAUAGUUUUCUUCUCUGAACCUCAAAGGCCCAAUUCCAGAGUAAUAUAAACCUAUCAACCAUCUCUAAGAUGUGGACCAAUGACUACCACCAGUAGCUGCUGCUAUCAAUACAUCAGAAAGCAAAAGACCCUGUUGGAAAUUCAUGAUCCAAUAGGGAAGAAAAGAGGGCAUUGAUUGCCCAAGCCUCACUUUGGGGUUUCCUGGUGCACAAGUUCUGUCCAGAGAACUAGGUCCCAAUCUGAACCUGGAAAGGCAACAAACUGACUGUAAUCUGGGAAGAGCCCUACCAAGUCCUGCUAACAGUCAACUGUGCUGAAGAAGGCUGGGUAAAAAGGACCCAUAAAACCACUGUCAUCAGGACGGCUAAGACAGUUACUGACCAGCUCCUGAAAGUAAUCAUAAAGAAGUAUUUUCUCACUUGACGGUACUGAACUAUUUCUAUAUGGAAGCAAAUUUAGGAGUCUUGGGAAUUGUUGUCUUGUUGAUUUUAAUUUGAUAUCUUGCUGCAAACUGUGGGUUAGGGGGACUGUUACCACUCUCUGAGGAGGUCCCCUUUUAGGUUUGACUUCCCUUUCAGUGCCUAACCACCAGGGACAUUUCUCCCAGAACUGAACCUAUAUAGUCAUCUACAAAGCUUUGUCUACUUUCUUUAAUUUCUAGUAGUAUUGUAGGCAGUAGCAGCAGAGAUCUUCUACUGCAGUUCCCUACGUUUCAUCCUUACUUGAACUAUCUCCAUUUGACUUGGGUCCCAAUAUGCAAAGGGUACUGACACUAGUGUCGGAAUGGAUAAUCAUAGUUUCAGGUAUAGUGAUAGCUAUAGACACAGACAUUGAUAACAGUCCUAGAGAUGAGACAUGGAGAAAAUCAAGUAGGCUAGACAAAGUAGCCACCAGCAGACCUAGAGCCCAUGUUGUCCCCUUUCCUUUGGGAUUGGAUGAAAAUGAGGCUGACUUCAAGUGUAUGGUUACCCUCUUUCGAGAGCUAAAUCCAGAGAAUUGCAGCUCACUAGCUACCUUGUACCCACCUACUAAGACAAGUGGCAUGAAAUGGGUGACUCUACCUAGAGGAGGAUUCUGGAACCACACUGCCUGCAUCUCACGAUAUGUGAGUGGGAGACCUGGUCCAAAACUGGAGUGUGCCCGAACCUGGAAUGUAACUGACCGGCCUGAGUUUACUAAUCUAAACAUUUCUCGAGCAGAUCUCUGGUGGUUCUGUGGGAAAAACAUACUCAGACAAGUUCUGAAUAACUGGUCUGCAACCUGUGCCUUAGUAAAAUUGGUAAUCCCACUCACAAUCAUAUAUCCAAGACAAACUACUCAUCUAGACCAGUCAAGGUAAAAGAGGAAUAAUCUCACUUCUCCUCAAGGCUCUUCUGAUCAAUCAGGAUACAUAGAUGGGAUAGGGAUGCCUAGAGGAGUCCCAGAGGAGUUUAAAGCUAGGAACCAGACAGCAACCACAUUUGAAUCCUUCUAUUGGUGGAUCAUCAUAAACAAGAAAGUAGACUGAAUCAAUUAUAUUUAUUAUAACCAACAGAGGAUAAAUUACACCCAAGACAAGGGCUUGUCUCAACAAUUAAAUGCUACCAGUUGAAUGUCAUGGAGAAACAGAUUACUUUUAAACAGGAUGUUUACUAAAGAGGGCAAUGUCUGUGGCAUGUUAGGGGAGAGAUGUUGCACCUACAUUCCUAAUAGCACUGCAUCAGAUGAGUAAGUAACCAAAACUGUCCAGGGACUAAUUACCCUUUCAGAAGAAUUAACCAGAAAUUCAGGAAUAGAUAUUGGCUCCUGGACCAGCUGAUUUGAUUCAGUUUUCUCAGGACCCUAGACAAGGUUUAUAUCAAUGAUAUUUGGCAUCCUGGGCAUUAUUGUGAUACUCCCCUGCUUAAUUACCUGUCUUAUAACUCUCAUUCAGAGGACUAUAGUCAGAAUUCCCCUGCCCAGACAUAAUUCCAAAGAUAAUGAUCCUAAGAAAAUAAAAAAGACAGGACUUAGAAGGAGUAAAUGAGGAAUACUUUGAUUUGGAAAAAGAAGCUGAAGCAAUCAUCCAACAAUAGAAGGAGAAAUCACUCAACUCGUAAAAAAAAACAAAAACAAAAACAAAAAAAAAAACAAACAAAAAAACAAAAAAACUAUGUGUUUUUCAAAGUAAAUAUUUAGGCAGAUACUCCCAAUAUCCUCCAGGUGAAAGCUGUGAAAGCUCCAGUUUAACACCUCAAUUAGCUCAAUUAGGAAAAGGAUGACUAAUCUAUUUGAAUUUCAAAGAUCUUUCACUGACUGUUAUCUAAAGACUCCAGGACAAGCCUGGAAAGAGAUUGAUAAAGGAGAAGAUCCCGGAUUUAAGGGCAAUGGACAACUCAUUUGUUCCCCUUAUCUCUUAAGAAUGUUAAAAUAACACUUUUUCUAUACCCUGAACCUGGUUAGAAAACAAGUGUUUUAGAUUGUAAGUCAAGGCUCAGUGAGGGGGACAAGGGAAGCUUUGAGAGGGUGAGGAAGGGUCUUGAUUUAAGGAAACUAUAUAUUGUCUGCUUGUACCUAGUCAAUUUGUGCUUCUAUAGCCCACUGAAGUGUUCCUUUCAUGAAAGAAAUAAACUACUGCCUCUUUUACUCUUA